This 72-nucleotide transfer RNA is filed under the name Camelus bactrianus (Bactrian camel). It matches the Rfam family "tRNA". From Rfam's summary of the family: Transfer RNA (tRNA) molecules are approximately 80 nucleotides in length. Their secondary structure includes four short double-helical elements and three loops (D, anti-codon, and T loops). The record is from Rfam by way of RNAcentral. Lineage: Eukaryota; Metazoa; Chordata; Mammalia; Artiodactyla; Camelidae. RNAcentral also lists the same sequence under 2 other names.
GGGAGUAUAGCUCAGUUGUAGAGCUUGUGCUCAGCAUGCACAAGGUCCUGGGUUCAGUCCCCAGUACCUCCA